UGGCAAGCGUUGUCCGGAUUUAUUGGGCGUAAAGCGCGCGCAGGUGGUUUCUUAAGUCUGAUGUGAAAGCCCACGGCUCAACCGUGGAGGGUCAUUGGAAACUGGGGAACUUGAGUGCAGAAGAGGAUAGUGGAAUUCCAAGUGUAGCGGUGAAAUGCGUAGAGAUUUGGAGGAACACCAGUGGCGAAGGCGACUGUCUGGUCUGUAACUGACACUGAGGCGCGAAAGCGUGGGGAGCAAACA
Molecule: ribosomal RNA, 243 nt
Filed under: uncultured bacterium
Lineage: Bacteria
Description: partial 16S ribosomal RNA
Rfam family: Bacterial small subunit ribosomal RNA
Source: RNAcentral